GACGAACGCUGGCGGCGUGCUUAACACAUGCAAGUCGAACGGAAAGGCCCUGCUUUUGUGGGGUGCUCGAGUGGCGAACGGGUGAGUAACACGUGAGUAACCUGCCCUUGACUUUGGGAUAACUUCAGGAAACUGGGGCUAAUACCGGAUAGGAGCUCCUGCUGCAUGGGGGGGGUUGGAAAUUUUCGGCGGUUGGGGAUGGACUCGCGGCUUAUCAGCUUGUUGGUGGGGUAGUGGCUUACCAAGGCGUUGACGGGUAGCCGGCCUGGGAGGGUGACCGGCCACAUUGGGACUGGGAUACGGCCCAGACUCCUACGGGAGGCAGCAGUGGGGAAUAUUGCAAAAUGGGCGGAAGCCUGAUGCAGCAACGCCGCGUGCGGGAUGACGGCCUUCGGGUUGUAAACCGCUUUCGCCUGUGACGAAGCGUGAGUGACGGUAAUGGGUAAAGAAGCACCGGCUAACUACGUG
Molecule: ribosomal RNA, 468 nt
Filed under: uncultured bacterium
Lineage: Bacteria
Description: partial 16S ribosomal RNA
Rfam family: Bacterial small subunit ribosomal RNA
Source: RNAcentral